GACGAACGCUGGCGGCGUGCUUAACACAUGCAAGUCGAACGGAAAGGCCCUGCUUUUGUGGGGUGCUCGAGUGGCGAACGGGUGAGUAACACGUGAGUAACCUGCCCUUGACUUUGGGAUAACUUCAGGAAACUGGGGCUACUACCGGAUAGGAGCUCCUGUUCCAUGGAGGGGGUUGGAAAGUUUCCGCGUUUGGGGAUGGACUCGCGGCUUAUCAGCCUGUCGGUGGGGUUGCGGCUUACCACGGCUUUGACGAGUAGCCGGCAUGAGAAGGUGACUAGCCGAAUUGGGAGUAAGAUAAGGACCAGACUCCUACAGGACACAGCGGUGGGAAAUGUUACACAAUGGACGGAAGCCUGAUGCAGCAGCGCCACGUACGGGAUGACGGCCUUCAGGGUAUAAACCGCUUUCGCCUGUAACGAGGGGUGAGUGAAGGUAAUGAGUAAAGAAGCACCGGCUAACUACAGG
Molecule: ribosomal RNA, 468 nt
Filed under: uncultured bacterium
Lineage: Bacteria
Description: partial 16S ribosomal RNA
Rfam family: Bacterial small subunit ribosomal RNA
Source: RNAcentral